CCUACGGGGGGCUGCAGUGGGGAAUAUUGCACAAUGGGGGAAACCCUGAUGCAGCGACGCCGCGUGAGUGAAGAAGUAUUUCGGUACGUAAAGCUCUAUCAGCAGGGAAGAAAAAAAGUCCUUUGGACUUUGGACGGUACCUGACUAAGAAGCACCGGCUAACUACGUGCCAGCAGCCGCGGUAAUCCGUAGGGGGCAAGCGUUAUCCGGAUUUACAGGGUGUAAAGGGAGCGUAGACGGCAGCGCAAGUCUGGAGUGAAAUGCCGGGGCCCAACCCCGGAACUGCUUUGGAAACUGUGCAGCUGGAGUGCAGGAGAGGUAAGCGGAAUUCCUAGUGUAGCGGUGAAAUGCGUAGAUAUUAGGAGGAACACCAGUGGCGAAGGCGGCUUACUGGACUGUAACUGACGUUGAGGCUCGAAAGCGUGGGGAGCAAACAGGAUUAGAUACCCUUGUAGUC
Molecule: ribosomal RNA, 457 nt
Filed under: uncultured bacterium
Lineage: Bacteria
Description: partial 16S ribosomal RNA
Rfam family: Bacterial small subunit ribosomal RNA
Source: RNAcentral